Molecule: ribosomal RNA, 162 nt
Filed under: Ruminococcus sp. AF14-10
Lineage: Bacteria; Bacillati; Bacillota; Clostridia; Eubacteriales; Oscillospiraceae
Description: partial 16S ribosomal RNA
Rfam family: Bacterial small subunit ribosomal RNA
Source: RNAcentral
UUUUAACGAGAGUUUGAUCCUGGCUCAGGAUGAACGCUGGCGGCGUGCUUAACACAUGCAAGUCGAACGAAGCACUUGAUUUGAUUUUCUUCGGAGAUGAAGAUCUUGUGACUGAGUGGCGGACGGGUGAGUAACGCGUGGGCAACCUGCCUUGUACAGGGG